GGGCACAGACACGGGGGCCGCAAGGCUGAGAGGAAGCAUCCGCUUCGACCGUUUGAACGUAUACCGGGUAAUGCCGGCGCACGGACGUCUCUCUUGUUUCCCG
Molecule: non-coding RNA, 103 nt
Filed under: Bifidobacterium dentium
Lineage: Bacteria; Bacillati; Actinomycetota; Actinomycetes; Bifidobacteriales; Bifidobacteriaceae
Also listed under: 1 other name
Description: TPP sequence
Rfam family: TPP riboswitch aptamer (THI element)
About the family: Vitamin B(1) in its active form thiamin pyrophosphate (TPP) is an essential coenzyme that is synthesised by coupling of pyrimidine and thiazole moieties in bacteria.
Source: RNAcentral